GAUGAAGAACGUAGCGAAAUGCGAUACGUAAUGUGAAUUGCAGAAUUCAGUGAAUCAUCGAAUCUUUGAACGCAUAUUGCGCUCUCUGGUAUUCCGGAGAGCAUGCUUGUUUGAGUAUCAGUAAACACCUCAACUUCCAUAUCUUUUUUGAAAUGGGAGUUGGACUUGAGUGAUCCCAACGCUUUUCCUCACCGAAAAGUGGCGGGUUACUUGAAAUGCAGGUGCAGCUGGACUUUUCUCUGAGCUAUAAGCAUAUCUAUUUAGUCUGCCUAAAAAACAGGUUAUUACCUUUGCUGCAGCUAACAUAAAGGAGAUUAGUUCUUGUGCUGACUGAUGCAGGAUUCACAAAGACGGCUUCGGCCGACUUUGUAAACUCGAUCUCAAAUCAAGUAAGACUACCCGCUGAACUUAAGCAUAUCAAUAAGCGGAGGA
Molecule: unclassified non-coding RNA, 432 nt
Filed under: soil metagenome
Description: partial contains 5.8S ribosomal RNA, internal transcribed spacer 2, and large subunit ribosomal RNA
Rfam family: 5.8S ribosomal RNA (bases 1-120)
Source: RNAcentral